Molecule: ribosomal RNA, 488 nt
Filed under: uncultured bacterium
Lineage: Bacteria
Description: partial 16S ribosomal RNA
Rfam family: Bacterial small subunit ribosomal RNA
Source: RNAcentral
GACGAACGCUGGCGGCGUGCUUAACACAUGCAAGUCGAACGGAAAGGCCCUGCUUUUGUGGGGUGCUCGAGUGGCGAACGGGUGAGUAACACGUGAGUAACCUGCCCUUGACUUUGGGAUAACUUCAGGAAACUGGGGCUAAUACCGGAUAGGAGCUCCUGCUGCAUGGUGGGGGUUGGAAAGUUUCGGCGGUUGGGGAUGGACUCGCGGCUUAUCAGCUUGUUGGUGGGGUAGUGGCUUACCAAGGCUUUGACGGGUAGCCGGCCUGAGAGGGUGACGGGCCACACUGGAACUGAGACACGGUGCAGACUCCGAAGGGAGGCAGCAGUGGGGAAUAUUGGACAAGGGGCGGAAGCAUGAGCCAGCCAUACCGCGUGGGUGAAGAAGGCAUUCGGGUUGUAAAGACAUGUUGUUGGGAAAGAAAAGCAGAAGGUUAAUACCCCGCUGUUCUGACGGUACCAAAAGAAUAAGCACCGGCUAACUUCGUG